CUACGGGGCGCUCCAGUGGGGAAUAUUGGACAAUGGGGGAAACCCUGAUCCAGCAAUGCCGCGUGUGUGAAGAAGGCCUGCGGGUUGUAAAGCACUUUCGGUUGGGAGGACUGCUUCUAGCACUAAUAUUGUUGGAAGUUGACGUUACCUUCAGAGGAAGCACCGGCUAACUCCGUGCCAGCAGCCGCGGUAAUACGGAGGGUGCGAAGCGUUAAUCGGAAUUACUGGGCGUAAAGCGCGCGUAGGCGGCUAGAUCAGUCGGGUGUGAAAGCCCCGGGCUUAACCUGGGAACUGCAUCCGAUACUGUCUAGCUUGAGUACAGGAGAGGAGAGUGGAAUUCCACAUGUAGCGGUGAAAUGCGUAGAUAUGUGGAGGAACACCAAUGGCGAAGGCAGCUCUCUGGCCUGAUACUGACGCUGAGGUGCGAAAGCGUGGGGAGCAAACAGGAUUAGAUACCCGGGUAGUC
This 466-nucleotide ribosomal RNA is filed under the name uncultured bacterium. RNAcentral's name for it is "partial 16S ribosomal RNA". It matches the Rfam family "Bacterial small subunit ribosomal RNA", at positions 339 to 795 of the family's 1533-position model. The record is from RNAcentral.